RNAcentral lists this unclassified non-coding RNA (428 nucleotides) under Hevea brasiliensis (rubber tree). Lineage: Eukaryota; Viridiplantae; Streptophyta; Magnoliopsida; Malpighiales; Euphorbiaceae. The record is from RNAcentral.
CCACCAGAGCUCUUCCGCCACGACAGCAGAGUCAGCUAACCUGCGCCGGGUACGGUAACUCCGAUACACCUUCUGCAGCUUCACAGCCGCACUGUCAGAGCACGCACCUCCCGACACUUCCACCACAGGCGAAUUCCCGGUGGCAUCCAUCACACCAACCUCAUCAUUCAACACCGGCAUUUCAAAUUCCUCACAUUUCCGAUCACGGAACUCCGAAGACUGAAGGCCAUCGAAUUUUCGAGAAUCAUCCGCCGGAGGCGGCAAGUCAGGAGAAUCAUGAGGUAGGAAAUCUCGAGAAAUGUCAAUUUUAUCAAGAGAGUAAGGGAAAGGAGAAGCUGAAGCAUGGGUUUCAACCUCCAUAUUUGAAGAAGCCAGAGAACGAGAAAGGGCGUUGUGGGUUUGGAUUCUGGGAGUUCGAUACAUAUAUG